CACAUCACUGGUUCUCGUCCGAUCACCGAACUUAAGCAACGUCGAGCCUUGUCAGUACAUAGAUGGGUGGCCGCUUAGAAAUACCAGGUGCUGUAAG
Non-coding RNA from Acanthosepion pharaonis, 97 nucleotides. NCBI's taxonomy places the organism in Eukaryota, Metazoa, Mollusca, Cephalopoda, Sepiida, Sepiidae. The record is from the annotation of a GenBank genome assembly.